Molecule: microRNA, 22 nt
Filed under: Ascaris suum (pig roundworm)
Lineage: Eukaryota; Metazoa; Nematoda; Chromadorea; Rhabditida; Ascarididae
Description: Asu-Novel-8_3p* (star (passenger))
Source: RNAcentral
UUUUCAUCCUCGAGACUGUGCA